AAAUGACAGGGGAUCAACAACGGUUCUUCUAAGCAUCUUAAAAUUCCUUGAAGGACCUUAUGGUUGUUGCUACUGAGAAAAAAAAAUGCCUACCAAAGGUUCUUCCAAUAACACCAUAGGAGGUGUAGUUCAUCAAGGAACCUCUUUAGUUCUUUGGGGGGUUCUUGCAGGAAACCUAACUGCCCAACUGAAUUUGAGACAACAGCAGCAGGUGCAGGCUCUUAACUGAAAAAUGUAAAGAUCUCCUCAAUUUAAGGCUAUAUAGCUGCAUUGGGCGCAGAUGACAGGACUGCUUACUUACACAAGACUUCACCCUCCCUACACCUCUGAUGAAUAUAACAGGACACCUGUUCAAUCCCCAUGCACUGAAAAACCAUGUUGCCGAUGGAUACGGAGAACACCAACACAUUAACAUCAACACGC
Molecule: long non-coding RNA, 423 nt
Organism: Oncorhynchus tshawytscha (Chinook salmon)
Lineage: Eukaryota; Metazoa; Chordata; Actinopteri; Salmoniformes; Salmonidae
Source: Ensembl